Patella vulgata (common limpet) is the source of this 3938-nucleotide long non-coding RNA. RefSeq lists it as uncharacterized. The record is from RefSeq and is a predicted model, not a curated record. NCBI's taxonomy places the organism in Eukaryota, Metazoa, Mollusca, Gastropoda, Patellidae. The transcript has 3 exons.
ACUUAUUUUAACAUACAUUUUCUUCGUAUGGAUUAUAGCUACAAGUUUAUAAAAGUUACGUAGAAAUAUUUUAAAAUCUGAAAAGCCCGAAUGGGUUGUAAAUAGGUCAAUUUUACACCUUGAAAUGUGGACGUAUAUUGCCGUCGCCCCCAUCUGUCUGUCGGUCCGUCCAUCGUCCACAAUUUCUUGUAAACGCUCUAACGCCAAAAGUUAUCAUCCAAUUGUUUUAAAAUUGAUAUAUGUUGUUUACAUUUGUGAGAUGAAGAAGCCUAUUUAAUUUCAAUAAUUUCUGUUUAUUAUGUCUAGAGUUAUGGCCCUUGUUUCACUUUGUUGAACCUUGUGAACGCUCUAACGCCAAAAGUUAUCAUCCGAUCUUUCUGAAAUUUAUAUGCAUUAUUUAGAUUACUGAAACGAAGAAGCCUAUUGAAUUUCAGCAAUUUCCGUUUAUUAUGUCUAGAGUUAUGGCCCUUGUUUCACUUUAUUGAUCCUUGUGAACGCUCAAACUUCAAAAGUUAUCAUCCGAUCUUUCUGAAAUUUAUUUGCAUUAUUUUGAUUACUGAAACGAAGAAGCCUAUUGAAUUUCAGAAAUUUCCGUUAAUUACGUCUAGAGUUAUGGCCCUUGUUUCACUUUAUUUAUCCUUGUGAACGCUCAAACUUCAAAAGUUAUCAUCCGAUCUUUCUGAAAUUUAUUUGCAUUAUUUUGAUUACUGAAACGAAGAAGCCUAUUGAAUUUCAGCAAUUUACGUUAAUUACGUCUAGAGUUAUGGCCCUUGUUUCACUUUAUUUAUCCUUGUGAACACUCUAACGUCAAAAGUUAUCAUUCGAUCUUUCUGAAAAUUAUAUGCAUUAUUUAAAUUAGUGAGACGAAAAAGCCUAUUGAAUUUCAGCAAUUUAUGGCCCUUGUUUCACUUUAUUGAACCUUGUGAACGCUCCAACACCCAAAGUUAUCACCCAAUCUUUGUGAAAUGUAUAUGCAUUAUUAAGAUUAGUGAAAAGAAGAAGCCUAUUGAAUUUCAGCAAUUUCCGAUUAUUACGUCUAGAGUUAUGGCUAGAGGUGGGCGAUAUAACCGGUAUACCGGUGUAUUGCGAUUCAAACUUGCCAAUACAUCAUAUCGUGAUACACGUCCAAGAACCGGUUCAGUCAAUACGAUCGGCAACUUCCGUAAUAAUUAUCGGAAUAUUCCGUGAGAUUGUCAAUUUUAUUGAAAACUUGAGAAUUUCCUUAAUAAUAUUACACACUAAUAGUUGCGAGAAUGUCAUUUGGUCAUUUAAGAAAUAAAACUAUGCUUUAUUUAUGGCUAAACCAUGUAAAUUAAAAAAAGAUAGUCUCGUUCAUCUUUCGUUGUCCCGUAAACAAACCAAAAUGGCGGGCGUCGAAGCAGACGCCAAUUUUACAAAAGUGGCCAAUACUAAGGCAAAAGCUGGUAUCUGGAAACAUUUCAGUUUGAAGAAAAUGAAAACAGAUGGGCAUUUAAUGUUGAAUGUUGCAUUAUGCAAUAAAUGUAACGCGGAAGUGAGGUAUUCCGGGGGGACAACAAAUUUAAACACGCACAUGAGGCGACACUAUUCGUUUACAAUAGGCCUAUCAUCACAAUCAAAUGAAUCGAAAUCUGUCAGUAACACAACACUAUACAGUCAAGCUCCCAGCAGGUUUCUACUGUCAAAAAACGAGAGUCAAGCACGAUCUCAGGAUAUUUUGGAAACACAACCAAAUACAGCUCAAAAUCAAUACGUGCUUUAUUAAUCACGGACAAGAUUGCUAACUUUAUUGUGAAAGAUCUCAGGCCUUUUCGAAUUGUUGAAUCAAAGGAAUUUCGAGAAUUAUUAUCUACUUUGGACCCACGAUAUCAAGUCCCGAGUCGUAAGCAGUUCUCUGAAAUAAUCAUCCCUAAGAUGUAUGAAGAAAUGAAACUACUUGUUCAGAAGGACUUGUCAUCAGCUGAAACGGUAGCACUUACAACAGAUGGCUGGUCCUCACGUGCAACAGAAUCAUACAUGACGAUUACUUCCGUCCACAUUAAUGUUGAUUGGGAGCUUGUGAACUAUGUGCUGCAAAUACGUGCACUCCCAGAAAGUCACACAGGUGAACAUGUGGCAGAGGUUCUAAACGAAGCAGUUACUGAAUGGAACUUGCCAGCAAUUGAUGGAGCCCCUCCCUUGGUUACCGACAAUGCAAGUAACAUGUUGAAAGCAGGAAAACUUUUCGAAACCAAGCUGCAUGUCACCUGCUUUGCUCACACACUUAACCUUGCCUGUCAAAAAUGUCUAAAAGUAAAGCGUGUGAGUCAUCUACUUGCUAGGAUUAGGCAACUGGUCUCGUACUUUCAUCGAAGCAACAUGGCAUCAGCAGUAUUGAAAACUAAAGCCCAUCUUCUUUCUGUACCAGAGCACAAACUCAUCAUCGACGUGUGUACCCGUUGGAACAGCUCUUACGACAUGUUACAGCGAUUCCUCGAAAUGCAUGUGGCUGUUUUUGCUACACUUCGGUCCAAAGAGUUAAAAGUUAAGGACUAUAAGUCUUUUUCAGAUGAAGACCUUACACUAGCUGAAGAGGUUACCAAGCUUCUCAAGCCCCUGAAGGAUGUGACAGUUGCUCUGUGUUCAGAAAAGAUUCCCACGGUUUCUCUCAUCAUGCCUUUACAACAUCAGCUGAUGAACUGAGUUUUAGUGCUAUCUGAUGACGACUCUCCAAUGAUCCAGGAGAUGAAAGAAUCUCUGAUUGAAGACCUGAAAAAUAGGUAUCUUGAACAAAAACCAAUGCUGUACAUAUGCUCUGCCUUAGAUCCAAGGUUCAAGAUGUUACCCUUCCUCUCAGAAGAAAUCCGCUUUGAUGUCUUCAACCAGGUUGCAGCUAAAGCUGCUACGAUUCACAUCAAUAGUCCUGCAAAGAAACUCAAGAUCAAGAAAGAAAUUGAUCCAGCACUUCCUGAACUUCCUACUCUGCCAGAUGAUCCCACAGAAGAUGAUGGACAUGAUGGAAAAGAUGCAGAUGCAGUAGUAUGUCCAAUUUUCCCAUCACCUUUGAAGAAGAUCAAGCAGGAGCCAGAAAGUUGCGGAAGUACCAGCAAUUUCCUUGGUGACAUCUUUGAGGAGGUAUAUAUCUGUGGACAAGAUCCACGUCAAAAGCAAAGCCCACAUGUUCUUGCUCAAAACGAAUGUAAACUUUACAACGAGCUACCCCCGAUUGCUCUCACAGAGUGCCCGCUGGCAUGGUGGAAACAAAAUGAAUACAGGCUUCCAGUUUUAGCAAGACUUGCUAAACAAGUCUUGUGCAUUCCUGCUACUAGUGUACCCUCAGAACGUGUGUUUUCUACGGCUGGCAACAUUUUAACAGCUCAAAGAGCUACACUGAAAUCCAAACAUGUUGAUGUUCUCCUGUUCUUGAAAAAAAACUCAAAAUGACUUGUGCGGCUAUUGCCUCAAUAGUGAAAGUGGUUACAUUGUCACAAACUGACACUAAGUAGAUUUUUACUCAACUUUUUUGACAGACAAUCAUUAGAAUAAUGUCUCACUUGCUUUUUAAGUUGUUCACCAGUUAAGGAGUUUUUACCAGUAAAGAGGUUUUAACCAGUUAAGAAGUUUUAAAUUGUUAACAAUGUUAUUCAAGUUUGAAGUGUUGAGAUUUCCAGGUGCCUUAUUCUAGUCACUCCUCAGUCCUCAGUUAAGACUUUGUUGUGACUUGUGAAGUUGUGAGUGACAAGACAAUCAUUUCAAAACUAUUUUGAAUUGAUCAUUGAAUGACAUUUAAUCAUUGAUAGAUAUUAUUCUGCAAUGUACUCAUUGUACUAUCAGUCUGUCAGACUGUCACUCCCAGUGUCACAUUGGACAUUUUUUCAAAGAUUACUUAUUGUUGAAAGAAAGAAAUAAACACAUGGGUUUUGUGGAUAUCUUGUUCUUGUAGUUGACUAGUUGUACAAUAGAGGAAUUGCAUGUUCAAA